Molecule: non-coding RNA, 69 nt
Organism: Beta vulgaris subsp. vulgaris (sugar beet)
Lineage: Eukaryota; Viridiplantae; Streptophyta; Magnoliopsida; Caryophyllales; Amaranthaceae
Source: Rfam
GGUCUAUUAGUUCAAAUGGUAGAGCAUUGUGCUAUGCACAAGAUGUGGGUUCGAAUCCCACAUAGGCUA